This is a microRNA precursor of Oryza rufipogon (brownbeard rice), 202 nucleotides long. It matches the Rfam family "MIR812 microRNA precursor family". NCBI's taxonomy places the organism in Eukaryota, Viridiplantae, Streptophyta, Magnoliopsida, Poales, Poaceae. The record is from Rfam.
AAUAAGUAUUAUUUUACACCAUUAAUGUCCAACAUUUAACCGUUUAUCUCAUUUAAAAAUUUUCUGUGAAUAAUAUUUUUAUUAUUGUUAGAUGAUAAAACAUUAGCAGUACUGUAUAACUAAUUAUUUUUAAUUUUUUUAUAAAUUUUGUAGAUAAGACGGACAAUCACGUUGUACACGGGUGCCCAUGGCUAUACUCAUU